This 423-nucleotide ribosomal RNA is filed under the name uncultured bacterium. RNAcentral's name for it is "bacterial SSU rRNA". It matches the Rfam family "Bacterial small subunit ribosomal RNA", at positions 358 to 773 of the family's 1533-position model. The record is from RNAcentral.
GGAAUUGUUCGCAAUGGGGGAAACCCUGACGCAGCAACGCCGCGUGAGUGAGGAAGGUCUUCGGAUUGUAAAACUCUUUUAUUUGGGAAAAGUGGUUAAGGAGCUAAUACCCCUUAAUUUGAUGGUACCACAGGAAUAAGCACCGGCUAACUUCGUGCCAGCAGCCGCGGUAAUACGAAGGGUGCAAGCGUUGUUCGGAAUCAUUGGGCGUAAAGCGCGCGCAGGCGGAUUUGCAAGUCAGAUGCGAAAUCUCGGGGCUCAACCGCGAAACUGCGUCUGAAACUGCAAGUCUAGAAUGUCGGAGGGGGCAGGGGAAUUUCACGUGUAGGGGUAAAAUCCGUAGAGAUGUGAAGGAACACCGGAGGCGAAGGCGCCUGCCUGGACGACUAUUGACGCUGAGGCGCGAAAGCGUGGGGAGCAAAC